RNAcentral lists this ribosomal RNA (332 nucleotides) under uncultured eukaryote. Its description in RNAcentral is "partial 18S ribosomal RNA". It matches the Rfam family "Eukaryotic small subunit ribosomal RNA", at positions 1470 to 1796 of the family's 1831-position model. The record is from RNAcentral.
CCCUUAGAUGUUCUGGGCUGCACGCGCGCUACACUGUCGGAUUCAGCGAGUCAUAUCCUUAACCGAAAGGUUUGGGUAAUCUUUUGAAAGUCCGACGUGAUGGGGAUUGAUCAUUGCAAUUAUUGAUCAUGAACGAGGAAUUCCUAGUAAGCGCGAGUCAUCAGCUCGCGUUGAUUACGUCCCUGCCCUUUGUACACACCGCCCGUCGCUACUACCGAUUGAAUGGUUUAGUGAGAUCUUCGGAUUGGCGCCUACGCGGCUUCUCUGAGGCCACGCUGGAUGCCGAAAAGUUGCUCAAACUGUAUCAUUUAGAGGAAGUAAAAGUCAUAACA